CCUACGGGAGGCAUCAGUGAGGAAUAUUGGUCAAUGGGCGAGAGCCUGAACCAGCCAAGUCGCGUGAGGGAGUACUGCCCUAUGGGUUGUAAACCUCUUUUGUCGGGGAGCAAAAGCCGGACGUGUCCGGCUGUGAGAGUACCCGAAGAAAAAGCAUCGGCUAACUCCGUGCCAGCAGCCGCGGUAAUACGGAGGAUGCGAGCGUUAUCCGGAUUUAUUGGGUUUAAAGGGUGCGCAGGCGGAUUUUUAAGUCAGCGGUAAAAUCGUGGGGCUCAACCCCAUCCAGCCGUUGAAACUGGGGAUCUAGAGUGUGCGAGAGGUAUGCGGAAUGCGUGGUGUAGCGGUGAAAUGCAUAGAUAUCACGCAGAACCCCGAUUGCGAAGGCAGCAUACCGGUGCACAACUGACGCUCAGGCACGAAAGCGUGGGUAUCGAACAGGAUUAGAUACCCCUGUAGUC
Molecule: ribosomal RNA, 458 nt
Filed under: uncultured bacterium
Lineage: Bacteria
Description: partial 16S ribosomal RNA
Rfam family: Bacterial small subunit ribosomal RNA
Source: RNAcentral